Molecule: ribosomal RNA, 347 nt
Filed under: uncultured microorganism
Description: bacterial SSU rRNA
Rfam family: Bacterial small subunit ribosomal RNA
Source: RNAcentral
GUGCACCAGUCGCGAAUCUUCCCCAAUGGACGAAAGUCUGAGGGAGCGACGCCGCGUGAAUGAAGAAGCCCUUCGGGGUGUAAAAUUCUUUCUUUAGGAAAAUUCGUGAUGGUACUAAAGGAAUAAGGGGCCGCCAAACUCGUGCCAGCAGCGGCGGUAAAUACGAGUGCCCCGAGCGUUAUCCGGAAUUACUGGGCGUAAAGCGCUAAAAGGCGGUUUUGAUAAGUCAGACGUCAAAUCUCCGAGCUCAACUCGGAGCCGGUGUCUGAAACUGUCUAACUUGAGGACGGAAGAGGCAAGCGGAAUGGCUGGUGUAGCAGUAAAAUGCGUUAAUAUCAGCUAGAACA